RNAcentral lists this ribosomal RNA (600 nucleotides) under Escherichia coli. Its description in RNAcentral is "bacterial SSU rRNA". It matches the Rfam family "Bacterial small subunit ribosomal RNA", at positions 41 to 631 of the family's 1533-position model. Lineage: Bacteria; Pseudomonadati; Pseudomonadota; Gammaproteobacteria; Enterobacterales; Enterobacteriaceae. The record is from RNAcentral.
GGGGGGAUGCUACCAUGCAGUCGAACGGUAACAGGAAGCAGCUUGCUGCUUUGCUGACGAGUGGCGGACGGGUGAGUAAUGUCUGGGAAACUGCCUGAUGGAGGGGGAUAACUACUGGAAACGGUAGCUAAUACCGCAUAACGUCGCAAGACCAAAGAGGGGGACCUUCGGGCCUCUUGCCAUCGGAUGUGCCCAGAUGGGAUUAGCUUGUUGGUGGGGUAACGGCUCACCUAGGCGACGAUCCCUAGCUGGUCUGAGAGGAUGACCAGCCACACUGGAACUGAGACACGGUCCAGACUCCUACGGGAGGCAGCAGUGGGGAAUAUUGCACAAUGGGCGCAAGCCUGAUGCAGCCAUGCCGCGUGUAUGAAGAAGGCCUUCGGGUUGUAAAGUACUUUCAGCGGGGAGGAAGGGAGUAAAGUUAAUACCUUUGCUCAUUGACGUUACCCGCAGAAGAAGCACCGGCUAACUCCGUGCCAGCAGCCGCGGUAAUACGGAGGGUGCAAGCGUUAAUCGGAAUUACUGGGCGUAAAGCGCACGCAGGCGGUUUGUUAAGUCAGAUGUGAAAUCCCCGGGCUCAACCUGGGAACUGCAUCUGAU